CCUCUUAAUUGUACUUUGGCUUCUGGGGUAUGCGUCCAAAACCACAGGUUCAAUAAGCCGAGGUGGUUUGAUUGUCCCCCAUAACUUGGGUACAUCAAUUUCCUUUUCUGGUUCUGUCUCGGUGAUUUUACUCUUCUUUUCCUCUCCCUCUUACUUCAAGGCCGCCCUUGGCUUUCUUUCCGCAUCAGCAACAACAAUUAUGGCUUUUAAGGCUGGAUCAAAUUACCUUACUCACAAAUCACCCUGAUUACUGGCCCGUUGUUGCGGGCUGGCAAUGGAUUAUUGGUCACAUUGGGGUCCUCUUCACCCCUUUGCACUAUUUUUCCUUGUUCUAUCAAGUUCUCCACCGCUAUUUUCAAAGUUAAACAAUCAUUUGUAUCAUGCCUUUCUACCCCUGAAUGAUAGGCACAUCUGACACCCCGCUGAUAUGAUAGUGAUUCCGGGUUUUAG
RNAcentral lists this long non-coding RNA (450 nucleotides) under Nicotiana benthamiana. RNAcentral's name for it is "long non-coding RNA (NBEN_LNC002449)". Lineage: Eukaryota; Viridiplantae; Streptophyta; Magnoliopsida; Solanales; Solanaceae. The record is from RNAcentral.